AUUAAAGUAAGCUAAUAAAAGCUAGCGGGCUCAUACCCCGACAAUGGACUAUUCUCUUUAAUAUA
This 65-nucleotide transfer RNA is filed under the name Siphonodentalium lobatum. RNAcentral's name for it is "tRNA-Met". Lineage: Eukaryota; Metazoa; Mollusca; Scaphopoda; Gadilida; Siphonodentaliidae. The record is from RNAcentral.